CUUGUGAAUCCGCGCUAGAACGAAUAUGCAUCCCAGCCGGGGGGGAGGGAGAGACGCCAUGGCGUUGUUUACAUCCCGGGGCCCAGUAGCAGGUCCCAGCCUCUUCCUUCUCGGGUGAUUUCUAGAGUAAAUAAUUGAGAGAAGACUACAAGUGUGUCCCAUCCCUGAAUUGGGAGUUCCCUGCUUUGUGCUUUUAAGUCAGGCCAACAGGUUGAGACACAAGCUGUUUUGGUCAGGACUUGAGGAUGUUGACCAGAGUCCGCUAAUAUCCUUCAAUAUUUAGUGUUACAGACACCUGCUCCAAGUGAUACGCCAUUACAGAAGUGUUCCGGUUCGGCCUCGUGCCCAUCGCUUGUCGUGCCCGGAAUGAGGACCGCAGCCAAGUGGCAUUGAGUCUCAACAACAAUGAAGUGAAUAUAUAUGGCAGAGCUGCAUCAGAGUGGAAGCUUCAGGAAACACUCCAGGGUCAUGAUCUGCGUGUCACAGGCAUUGACUGGGCUCCCAGCACCAAUCGCAUUGUUACAUGUGGAGCAGUGACCUUCCUGGAAAUUACCGAGACUUAGUGUGCUUU
RNAcentral lists this long non-coding RNA (571 nucleotides) under Homarus americanus (American lobster). RNAcentral's name for it is "uncharacterized LOC121864585, transcript variant X1". The record is from RNAcentral. Lineage: Eukaryota; Metazoa; Arthropoda; Malacostraca; Decapoda; Nephropidae.